Molecule: ribosomal RNA, 264 nt
Filed under: uncultured bacterium
Lineage: Bacteria
Description: partial 16S ribosomal RNA
Rfam family: Bacterial small subunit ribosomal RNA
Source: RNAcentral
UACGGAGGGUGCAAGCGUUAAUCGGAAUUACUGGGCGUAAAGGGUGCGUAGGUGGUUGAUUAAGUUAGGUGUGAAAUUCCUGGGCUUAACCUGGGCUGGAAACUUAAACUGGUCGACUUGAGUAUGGGAGAGGGUAGUGGAAUUUCCGGUGUAGCGGUGAAAUGCGUAGAGAUCGGAAGGAACACCAGUGGCGAAGGCGGCUACCUGGCCUAAUACUGACACUGAAGCACGAAAGCGUGGGGAGCAAACAGGAUUAGAUACCCG